AUUGAACGCUGGCGGCAUGCUUUACACAUGCAAGUCGAACGGCAGCGCGGGCUUCGGCCUGGCGGCGAGUGGCGAACGGGUGAGUAAUGCAUCGAAACGUGCCCAGUAGUUGGGGAUAGCCCGGCGAAAGCCGGAUUAAUACCGCAUACGACCUGAGGGUGAAAGCGGGGGACCGAAAGGCCUCGCGCUAUUGGAGCGGCCGAUGUCGGAUUAGCGAGUUGGUGGGGAAAAGGCUUACCAAGGCGACGAACCGAAGCUGUCCUGAGGGGACGACCAGCCACCUGGGACUGAGAAACGGGCCCGACCCCCACGGGGGGGCGCCGGGGGGAAUUUUGCGAAAAGGGGGAAAACCGUAACCAGGACAGCCGGGGGGGGGAAGAAGGGCCUCGGGUUUGAAAACCGUUUUUUUCGGGAAGAAAAUCCUCUGGGGUAACCCCCCGGGGGGUGACGGGACCCGAAAAAAAAGCCACGGCUAACUCCGUG
RNAcentral lists this ribosomal RNA (483 nucleotides) under uncultured bacterium. RNAcentral's name for it is "partial 16S ribosomal RNA". It matches the Rfam family "Bacterial small subunit ribosomal RNA", at positions 29 to 507 of the family's 1533-position model. The record is from RNAcentral.